ACAUUGGUGGUUCAGGGGUAGAAUUCUUGCCUUCCAUUCAAGAGGCCCAGUUCGAAUCCUGGCAAACGCA
This 70-nucleotide transfer RNA is filed under the name Loxodonta africana (African savanna elephant). It matches the Rfam family "tRNA". Rfam says of the family: Transfer RNA (tRNA) molecules are approximately 80 nucleotides in length. Their secondary structure includes four short double-helical elements and three loops (D, anti-codon, and T loops). Lineage: Eukaryota; Metazoa; Chordata; Mammalia; Proboscidea; Elephantidae. The record is from Rfam by way of RNAcentral.